AUUGAACGCUGGCGGCAGGCCUAACACAUGCAAGUCGAGCGGAUGAAGGGAGCUUGCUCCUGGAUUCAGCGGCGGACGGGUGAGUAAUGCCUAGGAAUCUGCCUGGUAGUGGGGGAUAACGUCCGGAAGCGGGCGCUAAUACCGCAUACGUCCUGAGGGAGAAAGUGGGGGAUCUUCGGACCUCACGCUAUCAGAUGAGCCUAGGUCGGAUUAGCUAGUUGGUGGGGUAAAGGCCUACCAAGGCGACGAUCCGUAACUGGUCUGAGAGGAUGAUCAGUCACACUGGAACUGAGACACGGUCCAGACUCCUACGGGAGGCAGCAGUGGGGAAUAUUGGACAAUGGGCGAAAGCCUGAUCCAGCCAUGCCGCGUGUGUGAAGAAGGUCUUCGGAUUGUAAAGCACUUUAAGUUGGGAGGAAGGGCAGUAAGUUAAUACCUUGCUGUUUUGACGUUACCAACAGAAUAAGCCCCGGCUAACUUCGUG
RNAcentral lists this ribosomal RNA (484 nucleotides) under uncultured bacterium. RNAcentral describes it as "partial 16S ribosomal RNA". It matches the Rfam family "Bacterial small subunit ribosomal RNA", at positions 30 to 507 of the family's 1533-position model. The record is from RNAcentral.